CGCUUGUGGCGCUCGGGUCGCAGAAGCGUCAGUGGCUGUCGCUGCGGCUGCGUGGCGGGUUGUCCAGGUAACCACGGGAGUUGCCGCUGUCCGGUAGCAUCUGAACAACAGUUGCACGUCCGGUAGCAUCUGAACAACAGUUGCGUGUCAGGCAGUUGAAGCACCUGCUGAGCUCUCAGUCCCUGGGUGCCAAGAAACUGAAGCUUAAUGAUGUGGAGCUCCUACUUUGUGCAGAAAGCUGGAAAACAGAAGGCCGUAAAGGAUAUAGCGAUGAUCUAGACCCUGUCCUGUCGAUAGUGUUCGGGAGGUGCGAUGCAGCGCUAAGCU
This 327-nucleotide long non-coding RNA is filed under the name Cebus imitator (Panamanian white-faced capuchin). RNAcentral's name for it is "lncRNA (ENSCCAG00000038251.1)". The record is from RNAcentral. Lineage: Eukaryota; Metazoa; Chordata; Mammalia; Primates; Cebidae.